GAGAGGACCUGGGUGGACGAACCUCUGGUAUGCCAGUUGUCGCGCCAGCGGCAUGGCUGGUUGGCCACGUUCGGGAGGGAUAACCGCUGAAAGCAUCUAAGCGGGAAGCCCGCUCCAAGAUAAGGAUUCCUAACCACCCCUCGAGGUGGUGGCAGACCCCAGGUAGAACACCUGGUCGAUAGACCGGACGUGGAAGCCGCGCGAGCGGUGGAGCUGACCGGCACUAACGGUCGAAACACAAACCCGU
This 247-nucleotide ribosomal RNA is filed under the name Bifidobacterium pseudolongum subsp. globosum. Its description in RNAcentral is "partial 23S ribosomal RNA". It matches the Rfam family "Bacterial large subunit ribosomal RNA", at positions 2685 to 2925 of the family's 2925-position model. Lineage: Bacteria; Bacillati; Actinomycetota; Actinomycetes; Bifidobacteriales; Bifidobacteriaceae. The record is from RNAcentral.